RNAcentral lists this transfer RNA (73 nucleotides) under Apaloderma vittatum (bar-tailed trogon). It matches the Rfam family "tRNA". From Rfam's summary of the family: Transfer RNA (tRNA) molecules are approximately 80 nucleotides in length. Their secondary structure includes four short double-helical elements and three loops (D, anti-codon, and T loops). Lineage: Eukaryota; Metazoa; Chordata; Aves; Trogoniformes; Trogonidae. The record is from Rfam by way of RNAcentral.
GGCCAGUUAGCUCAGUUGGUUAGAGCGUGGUGCUGAUAACACCAAGGUCGCGGGUUCGAUCCCUGUUUGGUCC